Molecule: ribosomal RNA, 437 nt
Filed under: uncultured bacterium
Lineage: Bacteria
Description: bacterial SSU rRNA
Rfam family: Bacterial small subunit ribosomal RNA
Source: RNAcentral
AGAGUUUGAUCCUGGCUCAGAUUGAACGCUGGCGGCAUGCCUUACACAUGCAAGUCGAACGGCAGCACGGGGGCAACCCUGGUGGCGAGUGGCGAACGGGUGAGUAAUACAUCGGAACGUGUCCUGUAGUGGGGGAUAGCCCGGCGAAAGCCGGAUUAAUACCGCAUACGAUCUACCGGAAGAAAGCGGGGGAUCGCAAGACCUCGCGCUAUAGGGGCGGCCGAUGGCAGAUUAGCUAGUUGGUGGGGUAAAGGCCUACCAAGGCGACGAUCUGUAGCUGGUCUGAGAGGACGACCAGCCACACUGGGACUGAGACACGGCCCAGACUCCUACGGGAGGCAGCAGUGGGGAAUUUUGGACAAUGGGGGAAACCCUGAUCCAGCAAUGCCGCGUGUGUGAAGAAGGCCUUCGGGUAGUAAAGCACUUUUGUCCGGAAA